RNAcentral lists this long non-coding RNA (754 nucleotides) under Homo sapiens (human). RNAcentral's name for it is "p53 upregulated regulator of p53 levels". The record is from RNAcentral. Lineage: Eukaryota; Metazoa; Chordata; Mammalia; Primates; Hominidae.
GUGGUGACCUGGGAAUCAAUGUGUGAGGUGGUGCUAUGUAGCAGGAACCCCUCUUGCUUUGCAAAUAGUUUUUUGUUUGUUUUCCUUUUUGCCCAAUAGAGCCCUGCUCUACUGACCCUUCAAUGUGCCCGUGUGCCUAAAUAUUCCUGGUCGUGUGAAAAGAACCCAGCAGUCAAGCUCAACUUGCAGAACUGAUGGGAACCCCUUGGGAAAACUGGCCUCAAAUGUUUGUCUACACAGUCCACAUACAGGGUUCUUAACCUGCGUGGACUGGAGCCCAAAAUGCACACUGGAGGAAGUGGAUGGAGCCACGUGGAUGUCAUGCCUUAUGCAGGGGAGGAGCCUGCUCUCUUCAGCUCCUGUGGUAAUGUGGGAAUCGAUCUGUGAGGUGAGGACCUGUUAGCAGGAACCCCUCUUGCUUUGCUGAAAGUUUUAUUUUUCUUUUUGCCCUAUAAAACCCUGUUCUACUAACCCUUCAAUAUGUCUGCAUUCCUAAAUUUUCCUGGUCAUGUGACGAGAACCUAGGUUUUAGCUGAACUAAGGAGCAAAAUUCUGCAACAUAAAGUCAAAGAAAACUAUGCCUAUAUCCAUUAAAUCAAAUGUUAAAAAGCAAAUAUAAAGAAAAAGUCUUCACAGCCCUAGAGAAAAGUGAAACAUUGUACAUAAAGAAGUAAUAAUUUGAAUGGAUUGUCAGAAACCAUGACUAGAAGACAGAGGAGCAAUAUUUUCAAAUUUCAUAGAGAAAGGAAAAAAA